Alnus glutinosa is the source of this 451-nucleotide long non-coding RNA. RefSeq lists it as uncharacterized. The transcript is spliced from 3 exons. Lineage: Eukaryota; Viridiplantae; Streptophyta; Magnoliopsida; Fagales; Betulaceae. The record is from RefSeq and is a predicted model, not a curated record.
GUGGGAGAGAAAGAAAAGAAAGAAAGAAAGAAAAAGUCGGUGAAGCCAAAAGGGUUUUGGGGUUUUCCCAACUUUUUUGUCUGUUAAGCACAUUCAUGGCUGAACUAAGCACGAGGUCAACCACUAAAGAUUGAUCUUCAUUUUUAUGCCCAAUGGGCAACACGAAGCUUCAUUGAAUUUAGCAUGAAAAUUCACUUGGAAGCAUCCACCCCAUUAAUUUAAAUUUGCUAGUACAGUAGUACUACACACAGGGAGCUCCGCCGAUCUCCAUCCGAUCGGAUCACGGAGGGAGGUUCAAACUUUGGAUUUGGCGUAUCUCAAAAGGAAUGGGUCAAACUUGCAUGGAGAUGCCUCUGACAUCAACCAUGGUUAAAAAGAAGUGUCAAAUCUGACAGUAGAAAAAUGAUAAAAAGGCAUUUAUUUUUUAUCUAACGCCAGAAAAACUUCCCUG